Molecule: transfer RNA, 69 nt
Filed under: Paenibacillus sp. P26
Lineage: Bacteria; Bacillati; Bacillota; Bacilli; Caryophanales; Paenibacillaceae
Also listed under: 1 other name
Description: tRNA-OTHER
Rfam family: tRNA
About the family: Transfer RNA (tRNA) molecules are approximately 80 nucleotides in length. Their secondary structure includes four short double-helical elements and three loops (D, anti-codon, and T loops).
Source: RNAcentral
GCUUGCGAAGCUUACAGGUAAGCAUCCGGGUUCAUCCGGAAGGAGAUGGUUCGAAUCCAUCCGCAGGCA